AACGAACGCUGGCGGCAGGCUUAACACAUGCAAGUCGAGCGCAUCCUUCGGGGUGAGCGGCGGACGGGUGAGUAACGCGUGGGAACGUGCCCUCUUCUACGGAAUAGCCUCGGGAAACUGAGAGUAAUGCCGUAUACGCCCGCAAGGGGAAAGAUUUAUCGGAGGAGGAUCGGCCCGCGUUGGAUUAGGUAGUUGGUGGGGUAACGGCCUACCAAGCCGACGAUCCAUAGCUGGGUUGAGAGGAUGAUCAGCCACACUGGGACUGAGACACGGCCCAGACUCCUACGGGAGGCAGCAGUGGGGAAUCUUGGAAAAUGGGGGCAACCCUGAUCCAGCCAUGCCGCGUGAUCGAUGAAGGCCUUAGGGUUGUAAAGAUCUUUCAGCUGGGAAGAUAAUGACGGUACCAGCAGAAGAAGCCCCGGCUAACUCCGUG
RNAcentral lists this ribosomal RNA (433 nucleotides) under uncultured bacterium. Its description in RNAcentral is "partial 16S ribosomal RNA". It matches the Rfam family "Bacterial small subunit ribosomal RNA", at positions 29 to 507 of the family's 1533-position model. The record is from RNAcentral.